AUUCUUCUCCUGGCAGUAUCAUAGCCAAUGAGGUUAAUCCGAGGUGUGAUUAUUGCUAGUUGAAAACUAUUCCUCUGCUUUCUGUCAAAUAGGUGUCAGCUGCUUUCUUGUCCCUACUUAGCUGCUGUUUAGCCAAUCUAUACAUACUGGGUGAAAUUCUUCACUGGGUUACACCC
RNAcentral lists this small nuclear RNA (176 nucleotides) under Chrysemys picta bellii (western painted turtle). RNAcentral's name for it is "U4 spliceosomal RNA (ENSCPBG00000004806.1)". The stretch from base 1 to 76 matches the Rfam family "U4 spliceosomal RNA". Lineage: Eukaryota; Metazoa; Chordata; Testudines; Emydidae. The record is from RNAcentral.